Molecule: ribosomal RNA, 439 nt
Filed under: uncultured Planctomycetota bacterium
Lineage: Bacteria; Pseudomonadati; Planctomycetota
Description: bacterial SSU rRNA
Rfam family: Bacterial small subunit ribosomal RNA
Source: RNAcentral
UGCACCACACCUACGGGUGGCAGCCGUCGAGGAUCUUCGGCAAUGGGCGCAGGCCUGACCGAGCGACGCCGCGUGCGGGAUGAAGGCCUUCGGGUUGUAAACCGCCGUCAGAGGGGAUGAAAUCACGGUGGGUACUCCCAUCGUGUUGACAGAGCCUCAGAGGAAGCGCGGGCUAAGUUCGUGCCAGCAGCCGCGGUAAUACGAACUGCGCGAACGUUAUUCGGAAUCACUGGGCUUACAGGGUGCGUAGGCGGCGGAGAAAGUAGGGUGUGAAAUGCCUUGGCUCAACCAAGGCACAGCGCUCUAAACUACUUCGCUGGAGUGAGUCAGGGGUGCGCGGAACUUCCGGUGGAGCGGUGAAAUGUGUUGAUAUCGGAAGGAACACCGGUGGCGAAAGCGGCGCACUGGGGCUUAACUGACGCUGAGGCACGAAAGCCAA